RNAcentral lists this ribosomal RNA (253 nucleotides) under uncultured bacterium. RNAcentral's name for it is "partial 16S ribosomal RNA". It matches the Rfam family "Bacterial small subunit ribosomal RNA", at positions 524 to 776 of the family's 1533-position model. The record is from RNAcentral.
UACGGAGGGUGCAAGCGUUGUUCGGAAUUAUUGGGCGUAAAGCGCGUGUAGGCUGUCCGUUAAGUCAGGUGUGAAAGCCCUUAGCUCAACUAAGGAACGUCAUCUGAUACUGCCGGACUUGAGUACGGGAGAGGAGAGUGGAAUUCCCGGUGUAGAGGUGAAAUUCGUAGAUAUCGGGAGGAACACCCGUGGCGAAGGCGACUCUCUGGACCGAUACUGACGCUGAGACGCGAAAGCGUGGGGAGCAAACAGG